ACGGAAGGCAGCAGUAGGGAAUCUUCGGCAAUGGGGGCAACCCUGACCGAGCAACGCCGCGUGAGUGAAGAAGGUUUUCGGAUCGUAGAGCUCUGUUGUAAGAGAAGAACGUGUGUGAGCGUGGAAAGUUCACACAGUGACGGUAACUUACCAGAAAGGGACGGCUAACUACGUGCCAGCAGCCGCGGUAAUACGUAGGUCCCGAGCGUUGUCCGGAUUUAUUGGGCGUAAAGCGAGCGCAGGCGGUUUAAUAAGUCUGAAGUUAAAGGCAGUGGCUUAACCAUUGUUCGCUUUGGAAACUGUUAGACUUGAGUGCAGAAGGGGAGAGUGGACUUCCAUGUGUAGCGGUGAAAUGCGUAGAUAUAUGGAGGAACACCGGUGGCGAAAUCGGCUCUCUGGUCUGUAACUGACGCUGAGGCUCGAAAGCGUGGGGAGCAAACAGGAUUAGAUACCCUGGUA
This 459-nucleotide ribosomal RNA is filed under the name uncultured Streptococcus sp. RNAcentral's name for it is "partial 16S ribosomal RNA". It matches the Rfam family "Bacterial small subunit ribosomal RNA", at positions 341 to 792 of the family's 1533-position model. Lineage: Bacteria; Bacillati; Bacillota; Bacilli; Lactobacillales; Streptococcaceae. The record is from RNAcentral.